RNAcentral lists this ribosomal RNA (496 nucleotides) under uncultured bacterium. RNAcentral describes it as "partial 16S ribosomal RNA". It matches the Rfam family "Bacterial small subunit ribosomal RNA", at positions 28 to 506 of the family's 1533-position model. The record is from RNAcentral.
GAUGAACGCUGGCGGCGUGCCUAAUACAUGCAAGUCGAGCGAACGGACGAGAAGCUUGCUUCUCUGAUGUUAGCGGCGGACGGGUGAGUAACACGUGGAUAACCUACCUAUAAGACUGGGAUAACUUCGGGAAACCGGAGCUAAUACCGGAUAAUAUUUUGAACCGCAUGGUUCAAAAGUGAAAGACGGUCUUGCUGUCACUUAUAGAUGGAUCCGCGCUGCAUUAGCUAGUUGGUAAGGUAACGGCUUACCAAGGCAACGAUGCAUAGCCGACCUGAGAGGGGGAUCGGCCACACUGGAACUGAGACACGGUCCAGACUCCUACGGGAGGCAGCAGUAGGGAAUCUUCAGCAAUGGGCGAAAGCCUGACGGAGCAACGCCGCGUGAGUGAUGAAGGUCUUCGGAUCGUAAAACUCUGUUAUUAGGGAAGAACAUAUGUGUAAGUAACUGUGCACAUCUUGACGGUACCUAAUCAGAAAGCCACGGCUAACUACGU